ACAGAGGUCCCGAGCGUUGUUCGGAUUUAUUGGGCGUAAAGGGUGCGUAGGCGGCGGAGUAAGUUGGGUGUGAAAUCCCGGGGCUUAACCUCGGAAUUGCAUUCAAUACUGCUUCGCUCGAGUACUGGAGAGGAGGCUGGAAUUUACGGUGUAGCAGUGAAAUGCGUAGAUAUCGUAAGGAAGGCCGGUGGCGAAGGCGGCAUCCUGGACCAACACUGACACUGAAUCGCGAAAGCUAGGGGAGCAAACGGGA
RNAcentral lists this ribosomal RNA (253 nucleotides) under uncultured prokaryote. Its description in RNAcentral is "partial 16S ribosomal RNA". It matches the Rfam family "Bacterial small subunit ribosomal RNA", at positions 525 to 777 of the family's 1533-position model. The record is from RNAcentral.